Pelobates cultripes (western spadefoot toad) is the source of this 436-nucleotide non-coding RNA. The record is from the annotation of a GenBank genome assembly. NCBI's taxonomy places the organism in Eukaryota, Metazoa, Chordata, Amphibia, Anura, Pelobatidae.
GUGAUAUUUACAUUGCGGGAUUACGACUGCUUCUAGUGACGGACAGCCAGCCACUAAAGGUGCUUCCGGCUGUUUCAUGGAGUUUAAUAGGACGUCCUCACGCUUUGCAUUUGGACAUCCUGCGUCUUCAAAAUCCCCAUAGGAAAGCAUUGUUUCAAUGCUUUCCUAUGAGAAAGGCUUAAUGCACUUGCAGUGCUCGCCGCGCAUGCACAAAGGAUCCCCCUCGUGAUAACAUUAAAAGAGGCAGAGAUGGGGAUUGUGCUACGGGUCCUUGGCGCUGGAAUAAGGUAAGUGAAAAGAGGUCUUUUUAACCCUUUGAUCUUUGUUCCUUUAAGUCGAUUUAAUAAAUAGCUUAGUGUUUGUGUAUUCCAUUACUGUAACUGGAUUAAAGAUAUGUCUUUCAACUAAGGGACUAUAGGUGUAUGCAAUCGGUGUG